UACAGAGGGAGCUAGCGUUGUUCGGAAUUACUGGGCGUAAAGCGCGCGUAGGCGGCUUUGUAAGUUAGAGGUGAAAGCCCGGGGCUCAACCCCGGAACUGCCUUUAAGACUGCAUCGCUUGAAUCCGGGAGAGGUGAGUGGAAUUCCGAGUGUAGAGGUGAAAUUCGUAGAUAUUCGGAAGAACACCAGUGGCGAAGGCGGCUCACUGGACCGGUAUUGACGCUGAGGUGCGAAAGCGUGGGGAGCAAACAGG
RNAcentral lists this ribosomal RNA (253 nucleotides) under uncultured bacterium. Its description in RNAcentral is "partial 16S ribosomal RNA". It matches the Rfam family "Bacterial small subunit ribosomal RNA", at positions 524 to 776 of the family's 1533-position model. The record is from RNAcentral.